Callithrix jacchus (white-tufted-ear marmoset) is the source of this 1171-nucleotide long non-coding RNA. RefSeq lists it as uncharacterized. NCBI's taxonomy places the organism in Eukaryota, Metazoa, Chordata, Mammalia, Primates, Cebidae. The record is from RefSeq and is a predicted model, not a curated record.
CGCUGGCGCCCGGGCUAUAAACCCCGCCUCCCCGCCCCUCCCCGCGACUCCGCAGCACGUGACCCGCGGCGGCACGUCCCAGUGAGGGCCGGGUCCCAGCGAGACGGUGUACUGCUUGGAUUAUUUGAGCAAACAAGUCAUCGCCCGGGGCCAGUUGAUUUUCCAGUGAACCUACAGAGGACAAAGGGGACGUUUUUCCUUGGCCUCUACAGGAGGUUCCCUUUAGAUAAGAGUCUAAAAGAAAAAUAGCACAAGACUUGGCCUCCCUUGAACACCUGUCAUCAGUGAAAAGGAAGAUCACAUUGUCUCUGAAUUUCUGGAAAGUCAGGAUUCAUUAAAGAAGGCAAUGCUUGCUUGCCCCUGCCUCCUCCCAGCCCAGUCCUGCAGGUUCAUACCUGUCUGGCCAGCGAUGACCAUGGGCUGCACAGACAGCUGGAAGAGCUUGUCCAGCACCAGGUGCAGGAAGAGCACGAGUGGCUCCAGGUGGGAGGAGUUCAGGCAGAUGAUGCUGAGCUUCAGCUCGUGCUCCAGUGCCGUCUCACUAAUCUUCUGAUCCAGUACGCGGAUGGGGAAGGUCACCUGGCUCUCCAGGGAGUGGCAGAGGGUGAAGAACUUCUCCAGGUGGUUGUCCUGGGAAGGAAGAAGGCAGGGCUCAUGGGGUUUUGUCCCAUCAAUGUUCACCAGUGGAUUCAUAAACACAACCAAAUAGCUCUUUAUGGGUAGCACCUCUUAGCCAGGUUUCAAACCAGAAGUCCUAAGAUAUGACGUUUUAGACUGAGGUUAUGAACUUCUUUGUAAAAUGAGGUGCACAAGAUUGGACGUUUCAUUAAUUAUUAGCUAAAGAAAAAAUAAUUUAGGCUCUGAAAUGUUCUGUAAGCAGAGGUCAGCAUAACAGGUAAGUAUGCAGAACUCAGACAGUGGCAGGCAAAGGAGGGAGAAUGGAAUUUCUUUUUAAAGUCUGGUAAAGUACCAGAAUUACAGAGGGAAAAGAGAUAACAGCAGAUGAGAGUUUCAAAUCAAGUCUCCCUGCGAAGUUUCUCAAGCAACGGUGCAGGUACCAGGUUCUUUCCUUUCUGUGCUCAGUGGUUUUGUAAGGUCUUUCUAUUCCAAUGACAAAUGAAACCUAAACAGAUUUGCAUGUUCCCACAAAGAAUUACAAGAUUGCUUUUUA